GACGAACGCUGGCGGCGUGCCUAAUACAUGCAAGUAGAACGCUGAAGGAGGAGCUUUCUCUUCUGGAUGAGUUGCGAACGGGUGAGUAACGCGUAGGUAACCUGCCUGGUAUCGGGGGAUAACUAUUGGAAACGAUAGCUAAUACCGCAUAACAGUAUAUGUUGCAUUACAUUUACUUAAAAGUUGCAUUUUCAUCACUACCAGAUGUACCUGCCUUGUAUUAGCUAGUUGGUGUGGUAACGGCUCACCAAGGCGACGAUACAUAUCCGACCUGAGAGGGUGAUCGGCCAAAAUGGGAAUGAGACAAGGCCCAGACUACUACGGGAGGCAGCAGUAGGGAAACUUCGGAAAUGGACGGAAGUCUGAACGAGCAACGCCGAGUGAGUGAAGAAGGUAUUCGGAUCGUAAAGCUCUGUUGUAAGAGAAGAAAGAGUGUGAGAGUGGAAAGUUCACACUGUGACGGUAGCUUACCAGAAAGGGACGGCUAACUACGUG
RNAcentral lists this ribosomal RNA (495 nucleotides) under uncultured bacterium. RNAcentral describes it as "partial 16S ribosomal RNA". It matches the Rfam family "Bacterial small subunit ribosomal RNA", at positions 28 to 507 of the family's 1533-position model. The record is from RNAcentral.